AGUCCAGCUGGGGUUAAGAAAUUUCCUUACGAUCUUUACAGUAGUGCCGUAAAUAUAGGCUAGGUUGCCAAGCGACCAUCUGAUUUCAGGCUUAGGCCGCUCUACUGUAAAGUGAGGGGAUCCACACAGAAGGUUAAAGUGAGUUCACCAAAACACGCAUCAUGCCGUUCAUCGACCUCCAGGGGAAGUUGGGUAUCAACAUGGACAAAUGGAUGUUGAUCCAGGGUGGAGAGCAACCAUAUAAACGUGCGCCGCGCUGCCACGCCUUUGAGAAGGAGUGGAUCGAGUGUGCAGAUGGCAUUGGUCAGACCCGUGCCAAAAAGGAGUGCAAGCUCGAGUUUGAGGACUUCUAUGAGUGCAUGCACAGAGAGAAGACGCACAAGAGGCUGUAUGAGAUCCGUAAGCAGCGGGACAAGAUGGUGAAGGAGGGCACCUACCAGACCCCAGCUCACCACACUGGCGCUCAGGCUGACAACAGGCCUUGACCCUAUUUGACCUUGUAUGUAUUUGACAAGGUACAGUGUAGGGAGAGAUGACUGGAAGAAAGGGACAGAAACGUGAAGGUAGCCUAGUGGUUGGUGUUGGAUUAGUAACCGAAAGGUUGCAAGAUCAAAUCCCCGAGCUGACAAGGUAAAAAUCUAUCGUUCCUAGGCCGUCAUUGAAAAUAAGAAUUUGUUCUUAACUGUUAAAUAAAGGUAAAAUAAAUAAAUAUUUAUGAUCUUGGUUUUGAAUGUGUUAAUACUACCGAUUUGUAUUCAAUUAUUUGUAAUACCACACUAACUACACAAUACCAGACAAUAUUUUUUGGAGUGUGAACUUAUUAUUUACAACCCCAGUUUGAGACUGACAUAAUGAUUUCAAAUUAGCCUACUUGUUUUGGGACGCAAAUGGCUACAGGUGAAGUACUACAGGACUACCGACAUGAGAGUAGUGAGAAUAUUUUCUUCACAUACCUGUACAGUGUUUUCAGAAAGUAUUCCUAUCCCUUGACUUUUUACAAAUUUUGUUAUGUUACAGCCUGAAUUCAAAAUGGAUUAAAUAGAUUUUUUUUGUCUCUCGCCCAUCUACGCACAAUAUCCCAUAAAGACAAAGUGAAUUAAAAUAUAUAUAUAUAUUGUUGCAAAUGUAUUGAAAAUUAAAUGGAUAUCUCAUUUACAUAAGU
Oncorhynchus mykiss (rainbow trout) is the source of this 1162-nucleotide non-coding RNA. The record is from RefSeq and is a predicted model, not a curated record. Lineage: Eukaryota; Metazoa; Chordata; Actinopteri; Salmoniformes; Salmonidae.